Molecule: ribosomal RNA, 429 nt
Filed under: Bacteroidota bacterium
Lineage: Bacteria; Pseudomonadati; Bacteroidota
Also listed under: 1 other name
Description: Bacteroidetes bacterium partial 16S ribosomal RNA
Rfam family: Bacterial small subunit ribosomal RNA
Source: RNAcentral
UAGGGAAUCUUCGGCAAUGGGGGGAACCCUGACCGAGCAACGCCGCGUGAGUGAAGAAGGUUUUCGGAUCGUAAAGCUCUGUUGUUAAGGAAGAACGAGUGUGAGAAUGGAAAGUUCAUGCUGUGACGGUACUUAACCAGAAAGGGACGGCUAACUACGUGCCAGCAGCCGCGGUAAUACGUAGGUCCCGAGCGUUGUCCGGAUUUAUUGGGCGUAAAGCGAGCGCAGGCGGUUAGAAAAGUCUGAAGUGAAAGGCAGUGGCUCAACCAUUGUAGGCUUUGGAAACUGUUUAACUUGAGUGCAGAAGGGGAGGGUGGAAUUCCAUGUGUAGCGGUGAAAUGCGUAGAUAUAGGGAGGAACACCGGUGGCGAAAGCGGCUCUCUGGUCUGUAACUGACGCUGAGGCUCGAAAGCGUGGGGAGCGAACAGG